RNAcentral lists this ribosomal RNA (300 nucleotides) under uncultured Beijerinckiaceae bacterium. Its description in RNAcentral is "bacterial SSU rRNA". It matches the Rfam family "Bacterial small subunit ribosomal RNA", at positions 114 to 431 of the family's 1533-position model. The record is from RNAcentral. Lineage: Bacteria; Pseudomonadati; Pseudomonadota; Alphaproteobacteria; Hyphomicrobiales; Beijerinckiaceae.
CACGUGGGAACGUACCCUUCGGUUCGGAAUAGCUCCGGGAAACUGGAAUUAAUACCGGAUACGCCCUUACGGGGAAAGAUUUAUCGCCGAAGGAUCGGCCCGCGUCUGAUUAGCUAGUUGGUGGGGUAAUGGCCCACCAAGGCUACGAUCAGUAGCUGGUCUGAGAGGAUGAUCAGCCACAUUGGGACUGAGACACGGCCCAAACUCCUACGGGAGGCAGCAGUGGGGAAUAUUGGACAAUGGGCGCAAGCCUGAUCCAGCCAUGCCGCGUGAGUGAUGAAGGCCUUAGGGUUGUAAAGC